This 253-nucleotide ribosomal RNA is filed under the name uncultured bacterium. RNAcentral's name for it is "partial 16S ribosomal RNA". It matches the Rfam family "Bacterial small subunit ribosomal RNA", at positions 524 to 776 of the family's 1533-position model. The record is from RNAcentral.
UACGUAGGUGGCAAGCGUUGUCCGGAAUUAUUGGGCGUAAAGCGCGCGCAGGCGGUCUUUUAAGUCUGAUGUGAAAGCCCACGGCUCAACCGUGGAGGGUCAUUGGAAACUGGGGGACUUGAGUACAGAAGAGAAGAGUGGAAUUCCACGUGUAGCGGUGAAAUGCGUAGAGAUGUGGAGGAACACCAGUGGCGAAGGCGACUCUUUGGUCUGUAACUGACGCUGAGGCGCGAAAGCGUGGGGAGCAAACAGG